UACGUAGGGCGCAAGCGUUAUCCGGAAUUAUUGGGCGUAAAGAGCUCGUAGGCGGUUUGUCGCGUCUGCCGUGAAAGUCCGGAGCUCAACUCCGGAUCUGCGGUGGGUACGGGCAGACUAGAGUGAUGUAGGGGGAGACUGGAAUUCCUGGUGUAGCGGUGAAAUGCGCAGAUAUCAGGAGGAACACCGAUGGCGAAGGCAGGUCUCUGGGCAUUAACUGACGCUGAGGAGCGAAAGCAUGGGGAGCGAACAGG
Molecule: ribosomal RNA, 254 nt
Filed under: uncultured bacterium
Lineage: Bacteria
Description: partial 16S ribosomal RNA
Rfam family: Bacterial small subunit ribosomal RNA
Source: RNAcentral